This 253-nucleotide ribosomal RNA is filed under the name uncultured bacterium. RNAcentral's name for it is "partial 16S ribosomal RNA". It matches the Rfam family "Bacterial small subunit ribosomal RNA", at positions 524 to 776 of the family's 1533-position model. The record is from RNAcentral.
UACAGAGGGUGCAAGCGUUAAUCGGAAUUACUGGGCGUAAAGCGUGCGUAGGUGGUUUGUUAAGUCAGGUGUGAAAUCCUGGGGCUCAACCUCAGAAUGGCGCUUGAUACUGGCAGACUCGAGUGUGGUAGAGGAUAGUGGAAUUCCCGGUGUAGCGGUGAAAUGCGUAGAUAUCGGGAGGAACAUCAGUGGCGAAGGCGGCUAUCUGGACCAACACUGACACUGAGGUACGAAAGCGUGGGUAGCAAACAGG